AUGCGUAUGUUGAGAUGGAUGUGUGGCCACACGAGGAAGGAUCGAGUCCGGAAUGGUGAUAUACGAGAUAGAGUUGGGGUAGCACCAAUUGAAGAGAAGUUUGUUCAACCUCGUCUGAGAUGGUUUGGGCAGCGCAGGCCUCCAGAAGCUCUAGUGCAUAGCGGAUCGCUAAAGCGUGCGGAGAAUGUCAAGAGAGGUCAGGGUAGACCGAAUUUGACAUGUGAGGAGUUCGUUAAGAGAGACCUGAAGGAUUGGAGUAUCACCAAGGAACUAGCUAUGGACAGGGGUGCGUGGAAGCUUGCUAUGCAUGUACCAGAGCCAGAGUUGGUCGCGAGAUCUUAUGAGUUUCACCUCUAG
RNAcentral lists this ribosomal RNA (357 nucleotides) under Triticum aestivum (bread wheat). Its description in RNAcentral is "partial small subunit ribosomal RNA". The record is from RNAcentral. Lineage: Eukaryota; Viridiplantae; Streptophyta; Magnoliopsida; Poales; Poaceae.